CUACGGGCCGCUGCAGUGAGGAAUAUUGCACAAUGGGGGGAACCCUGAUGCAGCAACGCCGCGUGGAGGAUGACGCAUUUCGGUGUGUAAACUCCUUUUAUAUGUCAAGAAAAUAACGGUAGCAUAUGAAUAAGCACCGGCUAACUCCGUGCCAGCAGCCGCGGUAAUACGGAGGGUGCAAGCGUUACUCGGAAUCACUGGGCGUAAAGGACGCGUAGGCGGGUUGGAAAGUCAGGUGUGAAAUCCUACAGCUUAACUGUAGAACUGCACUUGAAACUACGAGCCUAGAGUAUGGGAGGGGGAGAUGGAAUUAGUGGUGUAGGGGUAAAAUCCGUAGAUAUCACUAGGAAUACCUAAAGCGAAGGCGAUCUCCUGGAACAUAACUGACGCUAAGGCGUGAAAGCGUGGGGAGCAAACAGGAUUAGAUACCCGUGUAGUC
RNAcentral lists this ribosomal RNA (439 nucleotides) under uncultured bacterium. RNAcentral's name for it is "partial 16S ribosomal RNA". It matches the Rfam family "Bacterial small subunit ribosomal RNA", at positions 339 to 795 of the family's 1533-position model. The record is from RNAcentral.